ACAGAAUCGGAUCUAUGCUUCUGUGGUACUGCAAUUGAUGGAUUCAAAUCACACUUGAGCUCUAUGAAUCAUUGCUCAUGUUAGUGUGCAUCUUUUGAAUUCCAUAUCAAACAUCACAGAUCUAUCCAGAUGCAGUUUCAACUUAGAAAUUUGACAGAAUAAAAUCAAAACACAUUACUGGACAUAACAGAAUUGGAUUUGAAAAUUAAAAGACUCAAGGACACAAGAUCGGACCGAUUAAAAAAAUGAACAAAUAAAAGUAAUGAAAAGCUAGAUCAAACAAUGCAAUCAGUGGAAACUACUGGAAUGAAGAGAAACCAAUGGAACAGUGAAACAGAGAAGCACACGCAAGGAAGAUGUUGACAGUGUGGAAUGAAAGAAGAAUCUACUUAGCUGGAGCGUGUUGUAGAUCAACCUU
Molecule: long non-coding RNA, 418 nt
Filed under: Vigna radiata
Lineage: Eukaryota; Viridiplantae; Streptophyta; Magnoliopsida; Fabales; Fabaceae
Description: long non-coding RNA (VRAD_LNC015864)
Source: RNAcentral